RNAcentral lists this long non-coding RNA (4962 nucleotides) under Sus scrofa (pig). RNAcentral describes it as "lncRNA (ENSSSCG00000056636.1)". Lineage: Eukaryota; Metazoa; Chordata; Mammalia; Artiodactyla; Suidae. The record is from RNAcentral.
AACAACAAAAAAAACUAUGAUGGCUUACUUAAGAAUAAAGAUAAAAGAAUGUAGGCUGAUCAUUGGAAGGAACUGGACUAUCUCCCAGAAUCCUAAUAAUAGCUACCACUUGUAGGGCAUCCACUAUGUUCCAGGCACCAGUCUAAGCUCUUUACAUAAUUACCUUAUUUCGUUCUCCCAUGGGCUCUGUAAGAUAUUUACAGCUAUUAUAUGCCUUUUAUAGAUCAAUAAGGGGUUUACUGAGAAGUUAUACAGUCUUCCCAAGGUCAGAAGUUGGUAAAUGACAGAUCUGGAAUUCAAACCCAGACAGCCUGACGCCUGGCCCUGUGCUCUUAUCCACUCUGCCAUACUGCAUCCCAGAUGCUCAUGAAUACUGUGUGUCCAGGCUGCAGGAAGGGCAUGUACUUCAGUGGCUCCAGGGAGCUCAUGUUAUUUCUAAAGUCCUGACAUCAAAAUGACUCACUCUGGUGACUGUCAGUUUCAAAUUCCUAGGAAAAAGAAAUAAUUGUCUUAGAAGUCUGCCCUGCAUUAAUAAGUGAUGGCCAGUGGUUCAAAGACAUGAAACAAAGACAUGGCAUUUCAGGGUUGACUGGUGGUAUGAAGCCUUCCUGAGAGAAAAGAAAAUUAUAAACCAAAGAGCUAUUGACAAGAAUUAUUUAACAUGUAAGUUGUGAGAUAUUAAGGAUGUGGUCUAUAUAUUUAGACAUAUAGAAAUAUUAAUAAACAGAGAAGAGGAACUCUAAUUUGUGUGAAAACUUUGACUGGUAUAUAUUAUUAUUAUUUUAUUUUUCUUCAAGGGUAAACUGUUUUAAGGAUAUGAGUGAUAUCUUUAUUUUAUUUUUUCAUUUUUAAAAAUUUUAUUACUUAAUGAAUUUUUAUUACAUUUAUAGUUGUACAAGGAUCAUCAAUCACAACCCAAUUUUAUAGCAUUUCCAACCAAAACCCCCAGCGCAUCCCCCCACCCCCGCAACCUGUCUCCUUUGGAAACCGUAAGUUUUUAAGUCUGUGAGUCAGUAUCUGUUCUGCAAAGAAGUUCAUUGUGUCCUUUUUUUAGAUUCUACAUGUGAUAGCAUUUGAUGUUGGUGUUUCACCAUCUGACUGACUUCAUUUCACGUAAUUUCUAGGUCCAUCCAUGUUGCUGCAAAGGCCAUUAUUUUCUUUUAAUGGCUCAGUAAUAUUCCAUUGUGUAUAUGUACCACAUCUUCUUUAGCCACUCCUCUGCCAAAGGACAUUUAGGUUGUUUCCAUGUCUUAGAUAUUGUAUAUAGUGCUGCAAUGAAUACUGGAGUACAUGUAUCCUUUCGAAUCAUAGUCUUCUCUAGAUAGAUGCCCAGGAGUGGGAUUACUGGAUCAAAUGGUAAUUCUACUUUUAAUUUUCUGAGGACUCUCCAUACUGUUUUCCACAGUGGUUGCACCAAUUUACAUUCCCACCAACAGUGUAAGAGGGUUCCCUUUUCUCCACACCCUCUCCAGCAUUUAUUGUUUGUAGACUUUUUUUUUUUUUUUUUUUUUUGUCUUUUAGGGCCACACCCACAGCAUAUGGAGGUUCCUAGGCUAGGGGUCCAAUUGGAACUGUAUCCAAAGGCCUACACCAGAGCCAAGCAACGCGGGAUCCGAGCCGAGUCUGAGACCUACACUACAGCUCACGGCAAUGCCGGACCCUUAACCAACUGAGAAAGGCCAGGGAUUGAACCCGCAUCCUCAUGGAUGCUAGUCGGGUUCACUAACCGCUGAGCCAUGACAGGAACUCCUAUUAUUUGUAGACUUUUUGAGCAUGGCCAUUCUGGCUGGUGUAAGGUGGUACCUCAUAGUGGUUUUCAUUUGAUUUCUCUAACGAUUAGUGAGGCUGAACAUCUUUUCAUGUGUUUUUUGGCCAUCUGUAUGUCUUCUUUGGAGAACUGUCUGUUUAGAUCUUCUGCCCAUUUUUUUGAUGGGGUUGUUUGUGUUUUUUGGGGAUUGAGCUGCAAAAGGUAUGUGUAAAUUUUGGCGAUUAAUCCCUUGUCAGCUGCUUCAUUUGCAAAUAUUUUCUCCCAUUCUGUGGGUUGUCCUUUCGUUUUGUUUAAGGUUUCUUUUGCUGUGCAGAAACUUUUACGUUUAAGUAAGUUCCAUUUGUUUAUUUUUGUUUUUAUUGUCAUUACUCUAGGAGGUGGAUCUGAGAAGAUGUUGCUGUGGUUUAUGUCAGAGAGUGUGUGGCCUAUGUUUUCCUCUAAGAGUUUUAUAGUAUCUGGUCUUAUACUAGGUCUUUAAUCCAUUUUGAGUUUAUUUUUGUGUAUGGUGUUAGGAAGUAUUCUAAUUUCAUUGUUUUACAUGUAAUGAGAAAACAGGGUAGAUAGAUUAAUCCACACCCAAAGCUAAAAAGCUAGUAAAUAGCACAGUUGAGCGUUUACACACAUUAACUGGCACCAAAAUCCAUGCUUUCUCUUAUAAUACUGUAACUCCUCCUUUUUAGGGGACCAAAAUUUGGCUCACAAGAAAUAGAAAAAGGGCUUAAAGAUGGAGCAUUUAUAUGAAAAUUUUAGCAAUCCUUCUAUGUACCCCAUAAUGACAAUACACAGUAAGUGUACAAUAAUUUCAAGGGCUUCCCUCAUAUUUGACUAAAAAUUUUAAGACUCUUUUUUAUUUUUCCUUUUUUAAGGCUGCCAGGCUAGGGUCGAAUAAGAGCUGCUGCUGUAGGCUACACCACAACCACAGCAACACCGGAUCCGAGCCACAUCUGUGACCUGUGACAAUGCUGGAUCCUUAACCCACUCAGCCACAACAGGAUCCUUAAUCCACAUCCUCAUGGAGAGGUCAGGGCCUUAACCCACUGAGCCACAACAGAAACUUCAAAAUUUCAAGACUGUUCAAACAGAAAAUUAUCUAAUUUUCAAUCUCCACAUAUGUUUGAUUAAAGUCCCAUCAAUGACUCUAUAGCCAGCUAAGAAAGAAGUUAGUAACUGAAUCAAAGUAACUGAAUCAAGGAAGAUAUGAAAAGGCAUUAAAACAAAUGGUUAAUGGGAAAAGCCACAUUUCUACUUGAAAUAUUGACAUGAUAGACCAUAACUGCUGAACUUGACUGUAUCAAAAAUUUAUUGACUUCUAAAAUUGAAAUAGGAGCAUGAUUUGUUUUUAAGAAACUUGUUUUAAUGAGAGAUAGGGAGGAGGAAUUAAUCACCAUUUUUUUUCUCCAAGUAUUAAAACAGUUAAAAUCAGACAUUAGAAAAAGAUAAGGUUCAUACUACCUGUGAAACUGAAUUACAUAGCAGAUUCAUCCUGAAAUGGAAAAUGGCCUCUGGAUUCCUACCACCUGGCUUGAAAUCACUCAUCCCUUUCUGAGAAGUUGCUGGACAUGGGCAUGUCCCCAGCCUCCCUUGCCCUCUUAAACACACACACAUACACACACACACAUAGAAAGUCUGUACAUGGGGCUUACAAGAAAGAAAAAAACAGAAGGUCACUAUGCCACCCACCAACAAUGACACUUCAUAUUUCUUACUGAUAAUAACAGCAAGAGCCCCUUCCUCUCUUCCCAAGAGACACACAUUAAGCAGAAAGCAAGAUGGUUGGAACAUAUUUAUCACUAGUUCUAGGUGGAGUUCUAUGUCCCAUACUGAAAUGCUUUAGUAGUUUUCCUAUUUAUCCAGCCAGCCAGCCAGCCAGCCAGCCAGCCAUUCAUGUAUCUAUGUAUCUAUGAAUCCCUCCCCCCCUUAUCUUUAUCUAUAUAUCAUGCAAAUUCUCUAGGCUUAAAACAGUGCAUGGAUGUUUUUAUGUAUCAAGCCUAUUCUUCAGAUGUAGAAUUAUUAUGAACAAAUAUUAUAAAUACUACUCAAAAUAUGUGUGUAGAGAGAAACAUAAUGAGUGAACAUUCAGGGCUGUGUUUCAGGGACUUCAAGCCUCCGAUGUUAAAUACAAAAUCUCUAUUGUAGUCAUUCAGAGUAGGUGUAAAUUAUUUCAGGUACCAUAUCUUUCAAAUGUUUGGUAAUUUGCAAAUAUCAUUUAGAAGUGAAAAUAGUCUACCCUGGGAAGAAGGAAGCACAUGACAAAGUAAUUAUUAUGUAAUUAACCCCUCUAGGGUCCCCAAUUCAUUUCAAAGGGAUAUUUUUAAUAUCACACUAAAUAAUAAGCACAGCUUCACAAAUUCAAAAAUAUGUGAAGUACCAGUUAAAUGGGACAGAUGCUCAGCUACAUGUCACUGAGCAGUUUGUGAACAGAGAAGAUGUUGUAAGCAUUUGAAACUUCUUUUUUUUUUUUUUUUUAAACCGAGAUGUAGAAGACAAGUUUAUUGAGUCAGGAGACACUGUUAACACAGUGGGCCAACUUCGUGAUCAUCAGGAGAGCCUACUGAAACUUCAUUUUAAAGAUAAAAGUUGAGAGUCUUCUUAACUCAUAAAUAGCACCUUGCAAUUCUCCUUAAACUAGGUACCUAUGAAUGAAGGGGAAAAACGCUUAAAGAGAAAUGCUUAGACUUAUUUUGUUGCUAUUGCUGCUUAGGAUAUAUUAAAUUCUCCUUCUGUGGCAAUUCUCUUUUUCUUUCUCUCCCUCUCCAGAACUUCCUCCAUUUGUUGAAUUAGGAAUUUAAGGACCAAGUUCCUUGUUGAAUCACAAAACAUUAAUUUUCCCCAGAAUUUCAGAAACUUUUCAUAAGAGUGCAGGGGAAAUACUUGUUUCUCUUGCUCCUCAGUGAACAAAACAGCAGAAAGAUUCUAUUCAUUUAUAAUUUCAUUCAAAAUUUUCACUGAACACUCCCCUGUAUUCAAUGUUCUAUAUUCCAGUCUCUUUUUGAGAAGUAUGGUCAGGAAAUUACCACCCCAUAGUAUCACAAUCUGAUACUAAUAGAAAACUAAUAGGCCUGAACAAGUCUUGGAGAUAUGAUGUAUAAUACUUACAGGAGUUCCCAUGGUGGCGCAGUGGUUAACGAAUCUGACUAGGAACCAUGAGGUUGCAGGUUCCAUCCCUGACCUUGCUCAGUGGGUUAAGGAUCCGG